GACUGACAGAAGGUAUAUCAUAUACCAAGUUAUUGAGGACGGCACCAUGACUAGAUGAAGGAUCCAUGAGACAUCUAGGUAAUGUGAUUUGAAACUUUCUAUUCGGUUCAGAUAACUCGAUAAAUGGGUGAUUCGACUAGAACAAAUUAGCACGAGUCUCCAUAUCUAUGCUAUUUAUAUAGAGAAGGAUUUAACUAUUAAUUUCUUUGAACGUUCAUGCUACGUAUACCUCAAUCAAUCGAUAAAUCUUUAGGGGAAAAUGUUAUUGCAAAUAAAUAAAAGAGAGUUGGCCAAAAAAGAAAAUAAAAAAAUUAACUAUCUGAUACAUAUUAGUGUAUUACCUGAGUAGUCGUACGCCCACUUCUGCUCUGCUAAUGGUAACGGAGCUCCUCUAACUUACCUCUAGGCUGCUGCAGUCGUGUCCUCGUCAUCUCUCGAACUUAUUCUCAGGCAGGCAAAACUUCAGGGAUAUAUCCUUGUCCACAUCAACAUCCAAGCAAAAUUUUGCUUCGUCGAGUCGAAAAAUUGUUCGAAUUUGAUCGGGAAAAGAAGGAGAAGGAGAAUCUGUUUCUGCACCAGUACAAGCUGCUGCUCAAGAAGAACUUGCUGCUGUCAUGGCAGAGCAAGCGGUCCAUGUUCUUCCAGCUCUCCUCCUCCUCCUCCUCCUCCUCCAUCUCCCUCUUUUUUUAUGCUUGCAGUAGGAAACUUCACCUGGGAAGUCACGCUGAAGGAGUUCCCACACCCCCCUAUCAAGACCUUCUCGGCUAUGGUCGAAUUGAGGCAAACCAUCUUCCUCAUGAUCUCCAUGAUCAGUUUCAGGUUCCAGAUCAGUUCCCUGAUAACCGAGAAAGAGCAAAAAGUGGUGAUGACCUUAAGGGACCUUCUUGAUUCGGCUUAUUGGCUCUCGUGGCUCACUUCGGACAGGAUCAUAAUUCUAAUCUCAUCAUUGUUCACGGUCCUCUUUAGGAUGAUGUCCCAAUUUGAUUUUUUCUUGAACAACAGCUUUACGGUUGUCUUCCUCCUCUUAUUCCUCUUCCAGUUCAACAUGAUUGGUUUUUCUUUCAUGUUACCGGCCUUCCUCAGCGAGUCCGCUUCAUCCUCGAUGAUCGGUUUCUACAUAUUCAUCGCUGGCUACCUGCAAGAACAACUGAUGAAAUUCGGGUUCCCUUACAACACCAGCUCCUCAAAUAUGCAUAGAACCAUCUGGUCCCUAUUUCCUCCUAAUCUUCUCACCAAAGCUGUGAAACUGCUGGCUGAUGCAACUUCCACCCUGGUGAUCCUAGAAUCAGUUGGAAGGGCCGCACGGAAUGUGCUCCAAAUGAUACCGAAAUGAAAUCUACCUAUGGCUCGUGGCGACUUUCUUCGUGUGGUUUAUCUUGGCCAUUUACUUUGACAAUAUAAUACCGAAUGUUUUGGGAUGGACCGGAAUUUGAAUCGGUUCAGUUCCACCGGUUGAGCCUAUCACCGCUGAUGAUGAAGAUGUUCUCACCAAGGAAACUGCUGUGAAAGCAAAAAAACAAGAGACAUGCAAAUCGAUCCUAGUGUUGCAGUUGAUAUUCAUUGGCAGUAAAAGCAUUGUCGUGUUUUACAUUUUGUGGCACGUCAAGUUUUGAUUUUGCAAUUAUCGACAAUUGGGAAGUUCUAGCAA
This is a non-coding RNA of Punica granatum (pomegranate), 1648 nucleotides long. Lineage: Eukaryota; Viridiplantae; Streptophyta; Magnoliopsida; Myrtales; Lythraceae. The record is from RefSeq and is a predicted model, not a curated record.